Long non-coding RNA from Brassica rapa (field mustard), 141 nucleotides. RefSeq lists it as uncharacterized. Lineage: Eukaryota; Viridiplantae; Streptophyta; Magnoliopsida; Brassicales; Brassicaceae. The record is from RefSeq and is a predicted model, not a curated record.
GCUGAAAUCUCACAACUUGGGUUAAGAUGCUCAUAGAAUACAACAAGACUGCAUAGAAACAGCACAGGCUAGUCUUGUUCAGCAUCUCCGAGUUCUUCAUCUUCUGGCACACCUCGGACAUACAAAACGUUGUUGCAUCUG